This is a non-coding RNA of Pelobates cultripes (western spadefoot toad), 208 nucleotides long. The record is from the annotation of a GenBank genome assembly. NCBI's taxonomy places the organism in Eukaryota, Metazoa, Chordata, Amphibia, Anura, Pelobatidae.
CCCAACUACUGUGGUGCCAAAUUCAGGCGCGUUGGCGAUUUCCUCAGGCAGGAGAGGUCUAGUGCAGUCGGCCCGAGCCGUGUACAAUCCUCUUUCACCAAAGGCAUGCAGAGCUAAUAGUGGACACACUAAGCCAGGUGGUGGGUAGGUACCACUCCGAUGAUCAUGCGUGUCGGAUAGUACAGAGUUAAAAUAAGGGGACUUCUUG